RNAcentral lists this ribosomal RNA (373 nucleotides) under uncultured organism. Its description in RNAcentral is "partial 16S ribosomal RNA". It matches the Rfam family "Bacterial small subunit ribosomal RNA", at positions 527 to 896 of the family's 1533-position model. The record is from RNAcentral.
GUAGGUGGCAAGCGUUGUCCGGAACUAUUGGGCGUAAAGCGCGCGCAGGCGGUUCUUUAAGUCUGAUGUGAAAGCCCACGGCUCAACCGUGGAGGGUCAUUGGAAACUGGAGAACUUGAGUACAGAAGAGGAAAGCGGAAUUCCACGUGUAGCGGUGAAAUGCGUAGAGAUGUGGAGGAACACCAGUGGCGAAGGCGGCUUUCUGGUCUGUAACUGACGCUGAGGCGCGAAAGCGUGGGGAGCAAACAGGGAUUAGAUACCCUGGUAGUCCACGCCGUAAACGAUGAGUGCUAAGUGUUAGGGGGUUUCCGCCCCCUUAGUGCUGCAGCUAACGCAUUAAGCGCUCCGCCUGGGGAGUACGGCCGCAAGGCUG